RNAcentral lists this ribosomal RNA (490 nucleotides) under uncultured bacterium. Its description in RNAcentral is "bacterial SSU rRNA". It matches the Rfam family "Bacterial small subunit ribosomal RNA", at positions 28 to 534 of the family's 1533-position model. The record is from RNAcentral.
GACGAACGCUGGCGGCGGUGCUUAACACAUGCAAGUUGAACGGGCAUACAUGGAAGCUUGCUGAAGUGUAUGUUAGUAGCGGACGGGUGAGUAAUGCAUGAGGACCUGCCUGCCGGAGGGGGACAACAGUUGGAAACGGCUGCUAAUACCCCGUACGCCGAGAGGUGAAAGGAAUGGAGACAUUCCGCCGGGAGAGGGACUCAUGUCCUAUCAGCUGGUUGGUGAGGUAACGGCUCACCAAGGCGACGACGGGUAGCCGGCCUGAGAGGGCGACCGGCCACGACUGGAACUGAGAGACGGUCCAGACUCCUACGGGAGGCAGCAGUGGGGAAUAUUGGGCAAUGGGGGCAACCCGUGACCCAGCGACGCCGCGUGAGGGAAGAAGGCCUUCGGGUCGUAAACUUCUUUUGUACGUGAAGAAGCAGAUGACGGUAGCGUUACGAAUAAGUCCGGCUAACUACGUGCCAGCAGCCGCGGUAAGAGUAGCGUG